CGUAGUCAAUCUACCCUCGAGUCUGGGACAACCUCGGGAAACUGAGGACAAUCCCGGAUAGGCGAUGGACGCUGGAAUGCCUCAUCGCCCCAAGCUCCGGCGCUCGAGGAUGAGACUGCGGCCUAUCAGGCUGUUGGUGGUGUAACGGACCACCAAACCUACGACGGGUAUGGGCAAUGAGAGUUGGAGCCCAGAGAUGGGGACUGAGACAAGGCCCCAGGCCCUACGGGGCGCAGCAGGCGCGAAAACUCCGCAAUGCGCGAAAGCGUGACGGGGGAACCCCAAGUGCCGUUGGUCUUUGAUCGACGGCUUUUAGGGAGUCUAAGAAGCUCCCGGAAUAAGGGCUGGGCAAGUCGGGUGCCAGCCGCCGCGGUAAUACCCGCAGCCCAAGUGGUGGUCGCGAUUAUUGGGCCUAAAGCGCUCGUAGCCGGGUCAGCAAGUCCCUUGUGAAAUCGGGCGGCCUAACCGUUCGGCUUGCAAGGGAUACUGUUGGUCUUGAGGCCGGGAGACGUCUGAGGUACUCCGGGGGUAGCGGUAAAAUGCUGUAAUCCUUGGGGGACCACCAGUGGCGAAGGCGUCAGACGAGAACGGACCUGACGGUGAGGGGCGAAGGCUAGGGGAGCGAACGGGAUUAGAUACCCCGGUAGUCCUAGCUGU
This 657-nucleotide ribosomal RNA is filed under the name uncultured archaeon. RNAcentral's name for it is "bacterial SSU rRNA". It matches the Rfam family "Archaeal small subunit ribosomal RNA", at positions 99 to 754 of the family's 1478-position model. The record is from RNAcentral.